Molecule: ribosomal RNA, 389 nt
Filed under: uncultured eukaryote
Lineage: Eukaryota
Description: SSU rRNA
Rfam family: Eukaryotic small subunit ribosomal RNA
Source: RNAcentral
AGCUCCAGUAGCGUAUAUUAAAGUUGUUGCAGUUAAAAAGCUCGUAGUUGGAUUUCUGGUUGACCAUCCUGGCCCGCGUCCUUACGGGCGUGUGUGCUGGUAUGAGUCUUCCAUCCUUCUAGAGAGCCGUGCCUGCUGUUCACUCAGCUGGGCGUGUGCGAUCUAGAUCAUUUACUUUGAAAAAAUUAGAGUGUUUAAAGCAGGCUUAUGCCAGAAUACAUUAGCAUGGAAUAAUAAAAUAGGACUUUGGUUCUAUUUUGUUGGUUUCUAGAACUGAAGUAAUGAUUGAUAGGGAUAGUUGGGGGUGCUAGUAUUCCGCGGCCAGAGGUGAAAUUCUUGGAUUCGCGGAAGACUAACUACUGCGAAAGCAUUCACCAAGGAUGUCUUCU